Molecule: long non-coding RNA, 4735 nt
Filed under: Marmota monax (woodchuck)
Lineage: Eukaryota; Metazoa; Chordata; Mammalia; Rodentia; Sciuridae
Source: RNAcentral
AGGGUAACAGAGCCCAAGUGGGAUCUGGGGUGUUGGUAUUCUUGGUCCCUUGAAAGGCAAAACUCUGGGGUGAGCCAUUGUGGAAUAGUCGCUGUUUACAUUUGUUCUAAAGAGGACACUGACGUGGGCUUUGAUUUCUCUAAACCCAUCCAAAGACAUAGAUUUCCUACUUAAACCCCUUACCCUCCUCCCCCACCCCUGCAUUUCUGUGCCUAGAAGUGCCGAAGGUAUAGAAUCGCCAAGAGAUGCCUGCCCCGGAGAGUCUGAGAAGAAUCAGAGUUCGUAGGACUGCACAGGACCUGGGGAAGAGGAGGCAGAUGAGAAACUGGAGCUGGACGGGGCAGGGACGGGGAAGACACGGAGGGCGAGGAUGGCGAGGGGCGGGGCCCCGGGGUCUGAUUGCUGGCUCUGCCCCCCUUACCAGGCUGACCCGCUUCUAGGUCUUUUCAAGGAGGACCCUUCUGAGAACCUCGGAUCAGAAUCAGAAAGGCCCAUAGAACUGACCUGGCUUCCUGUGCCCUGCGUAGACAGACCCGGGAAGCCCCUGUGACCUGGGUUUUCCUACAAACUCUUUCACUCUCCCUCAUUUUCCCAGGGACUUUGUCCCUGAGAAAGACCAACAAGGGAUGUGGCUUAAAACCGCGAACCAAAGAUGACAUCUGGCAGCAAUCCUUGAAGUCAUAGCGCUACUUCCCAAGCACCGAGGUUGAACCAAGUACCUUGGUUACCUGAGGGGACUCGACGGAGGGUCCACUCUCUUUUGAAGUCCACUUUAGUCUUAGGGGGCUACAAAGGCAAUAGAAAACACAGUCCCUUUCAGAAGUAGCUUGUGAUUUGGAAAUUCCGUUCCUUAACAUGGAAGAUACCUAAGAUGCGUAGAUGGCAAACACAUACCAAACAGUAAGAAUUAGAAACGAUUAAUGAAGUUGUUGCCAAGAAGUAAGAAUGAAUCCGAUCCCAAGAUCAACCUUUAAAAAAAAAAAAAAAGCUCCCCCAUAUACCCACUGCUCCUGGAAAUGCCCUGAUGUUGAGACCUCCAGAGGAGGUGUCUAGGAACCCAGGAGCAGCGAACCAGGAGGAUGAUUCCACACCUCUGCACAGGCAGGCUCGGGCCGGUCCUCCAGCCCUUGCCAGAUCACCUCCUCCCAGCUCUGCUGGGCGACAUGUGCUUCAGAAGGGCGUUGGAAGAACCCUGCAAGGAUGAGAAAAUGGACCGUGAUAGGAAAGAGGGAACAGUUCCCCAAGGGUUUUUUUGUCUGGUCUUGGACUUGUGAGGGACACUUUUGACAGUCCAGGGUAUAAAUGUAUCAGGGGAGGACCAGGGAGGACCAAGUGCCUACUGUUGUGGCUGGAGAAGGGAAGCUGCAGGUUCCCUAGAGAGUCGACACGGGGAGUCUGCGCGGAUUUCGGGAGGACCCGCCGGGUGGAGAGGGGAUUUUUUUUACCCUGUCCAACCCAGUUCUGGGCAGGACUGAGAUGUGAGAUUCUCUGUUUAUCACAAGUACACACCAUGUGUCAGCAACUAAAUCUGGAAAUAUCAAAAUAUACCCACACUGAGUAUAGCCUACAUUCUAGGAACAUUCUAGAAUGAGGUUCUCAAAAUAGCCAUAGGAUAGCAGGAUGAUUGCUCCCAUUUUGCAGAUGAGGAAUCUGAGGCUUAGUUGUUCUCAGCCUCAUCAGAAACUAGAGUCAGUUAAUAAAUCCCUGAUGUUGGACACAUUCUCGAAGUGCCUGAUCUCCUCCAGGGAGGUCAGAAGAGGAGUCGGAGAGAGAGAGCUGCUGUGGCCAGGUCCCCUUCUCCGGUGUGCUGGUCCCUGAUCCUCAGAGUCAGGAAUGGAGUGUGUCCAUCACACGGGGGGGUCUCACCUCUGUUCACAGUCCCUCCCGAGACUCAAGCAUUGUCUGUUCUCUCCUCCUUCAUGGGAGUGCAGUCAGCAUUUAUUUUUUGGUUCCUGAGAAGUUAUUUUCUCUAUUUAGCAUGUGCCUAAUCUUGAAUAUCCCUUCCCACUCUCUCCUGACUUUAUCAGUUGGCAUCAGGGCUUGUUGCAUUAGACAUAUGUACAUAGUGUGCUCGCGUGUGUAGACACGCACACACACACACACACACACACACACACACACACAUGGCCUUGUGGCCCUUCGUUGAAGCUCUCCUAAACAUCGUGACCCAUUUUUAAGGAGGUGGUGUCAUUUGCAAGGUGACCGUCCCUCCUCUUUGUUCUACGUUCGCUCCUCUCUGCCCGGCAGAUCGAAUGAGGCUCAGAGGCUGACGAGGUGGAGGACAGAGGUUUGCACAAGGGCUGGGGAGCUUCAGGAGCCAGAUGGCUGAGGGCCGGCUGCCGAAGUGCUCUGUUGAUGUUUCCCUUCUUGGUCUGCUGUGACGUUUCCUAAUUGCCUUAGAGAGACUGUCCUGGUCACGAGUGUCAGGAUGACUGUUCAACCGCUGAGUGCUUCUUCUCUUUGUCCCACGAAGGAGAGUUCUUGAGUUGGAAUAGUUCACUGGGCUCAGGAGCCCCGAGGAUCUGGUGUCGAAUGCACCUUGUAGACGAUGGUCCCGAGCACCCAUGUGUCUUCUUGGGCAUCCUUCUCCUCCCACGUUCAAAGCCACGCUGCUGCUUUUCUGGCACCUAUAGUUACUGUGAGGUGGGGCACGCAGACCAUGGCAUAGAUGAGGAUCUGAGCAGGGAUUUUAAAGGUUGUCUUUCAAGCUGGCCCUGAAACGUAGCCGAGACAGAGCGUUGUUGAUGUUUAACAGCUAUUUUGAGAUCCUGUUGCUGUCUGCAAGUGCAGGAUGACAUUCUCCCAGGGAUGUUGAGCUAUGCAGAAAGUGGAGCACCCCAAAGAAUGAUCUGGCCAACAGCAUUACUUUGGAGCCAUAUUUCAAAGCACAGAACUCUCCAGGGAACAAGAACCAAAUUGUUUAAAAUGGAGUCAUUCCUCAAAUUAACUUCCUCAGAUAAGGUGACAGCGAUCUGCAGAAACCAACAAGACAGAGCAGAUUAUCACUCACAAGUCCCUCUUCUGUACCGUGCCAGCCAAACAAGGCGUCUGCAUUUUUUGCAGUUCUAGAACAUUCCUCAUUAGUGGUAGCCCCGGGUCAUAACCUCUUCCAGUUAAUUCUCCUUCAGACCUUUGGGAAGGGUUUAAGAUGAACCCUGGAAAGAUAUUAACAUAACACAUAGCCAAAGCCGCAGCUGCCUUUUGAAUUAAUAAGGUUAAUUGUUCUCCAGCAAACAUGAGUUCGUCUUCGGCAUUUUAAAUGCUUCUCAUUGAUCUGACAUUUUGCCGUUUCAGGAUUUUAAAGGGCUCGAAUCAAAGAGUAUUGAUAACUGAGCAAAUAGUAAAGGUCCAGAAAUAUAAAGAACAUUGUCAGUUUCGCCAUGAAAAACAAUCAUAGCCUUUUGAAUUCAAUUGAGGUUUUUACAUUAGCCGUCUAAGACUUAUUGAAUCAUUUCUAUUCUCGGUCAAGCUAAUUCAAGCGAAGGAACAGUAUUGACUUUUUAAAUCUAUUUUACCUUUUUUUUAAUCUUAAGUUUAUUAGGUUUGUAGACACAGCUCUGGGGCCAUGAUCACUAGGGAAAUGAUAGAACUUAGAAGACUCCAAUGAUGAUUUUGUAUGGCUCCUCGGGGUCGUCUUGGAGAAUUCUGGUGGAUCGGGGAAGAUGUAUGUGGCACUUGUGACAUUCAUGCUACCCCGAUUUUUUUCAUGGGGAAGGAUGUCAACUGUCUCGAUUCUCUUCAAGAUCUUAAGUUAAGAAUAACAUUUUCAUAGAAAGUACAUUCACUGCCAGGUACAAGUAAUUACAUGGCUAGAUGUGACUUGGUUGCUUGAGGGUCCCUGAAGAUUUUUUUUUAACCAGCUGUUUUAAAAUUCUGAAUAUUAGUCUUAUUCGUCCCCCUGCUAAAUUUAAAAGCAUACACUUGCCAAAUUAAUCGGUAGAAUUCAUCAUCGUUGAUAUCACACUGGAAUGUUUGUGUAUGUGUGUUUAUGUAUAGUAUAUAUAUAUUUCAAGCUGAGUAUUCAGAAAGAAUUAGAUGAGUUCAUGGGUGGCUUGAAUAAGAAGUAGAUCAUAAAAAUAAAAGAUAAUGAUAUUCUCAGACAAAAAAAAGAUGAGCCAUUUAUUUUCCACUCAUGAAAUAUAAGACCGUGGCGUAGGGUAUAGACUGGUCAUCUCCCAGAAGAAGGUCAUUGCAUUAAACAGCGUAUACUAAAGGGUUUGUGUCUGAGUCUGCUUUGAACCCAGUCGGGAUGGAGCUCAUAUGCAGAGGCUUUCCAUUCAUAGCCACCUUCAAACACCGUCUAAAACUCACGUCAGAAGUGGCUUGAUCUCGUGUACGGUGGAGCCCAAAGCGGGCUGCGAGCUCCUCAGCUCAGUGGUCUUCGUGUGGGGUUAGAUCUUCACUUACAAUCACAACGGUUUAUAUCUGUCAUGUUUUAAUCCACUGCAUGAGGAAGUACUGAUAAUUGUAUUAAAUAUUUCCAAGCAUAGCUACAAAAAUUACACGUUUGCUUAACACCUUUCUAUGAUAGAGGAAGCAUAUACUAUGGUUGUCUUCUUGUAGUACGUCUUUUAAUUUUGUUCAAUGUGUUAUCAACUGUUUUAAGGAAUGGGAUUAUGAAAUGUGUGUGCAAACUGAUAUGUACAUAAAUCCCGAGGCAAAAGAAGUGCCCAAUCAUACGGUGUAAAAAUGUAAAUACAGGAAAAUUUCAUUUUUCUAAUAAAGAUAAUUUCUG